Long non-coding RNA from Drosophila navojoa, 297 nucleotides. The record is from RefSeq and is a predicted model, not a curated record. Lineage: Eukaryota; Metazoa; Arthropoda; Insecta; Diptera; Drosophilidae.
AAAACUACUCGGUAACUGUAACGAUUACAUUCACUACCUAAAUAAUUAACGUUAAUUAGCGCACAGCGUAGGAGAGAAUUGAAAAUCAAGUUUAGUUUUAUUUGAACGCUAAUAACGUUCAGGUGCAUAACAUCCAAUGAUUCUCGGGUAAAGUGCGCCGUGUGUAGUUAUAAAGCAUAGAAUCAAUCAAUACAAAAAUCAGCAUCCAAACUACAGACAAAGAAAAGAGUACAGAGUACAGCGAAAACAACAUAAGCGAAUGCGAUAACAAUGUGAAACAGACAAAGCAAAAGAGUU